Molecule: ribosomal RNA, 198 nt
Filed under: Herpotrichiellaceae sp.
Lineage: Eukaryota; Fungi; Ascomycota; Eurotiomycetes; Chaetothyriales; Herpotrichiellaceae
Description: partial large subunit ribosomal RNA
Rfam family: Eukaryotic large subunit ribosomal RNA
Source: RNAcentral
AGUAACGGCGAGUGAAGCGGCAACAGCUCAAAUUUGAAAUCUGGCCUCUUUCGGGGUCCGAGUUGUAAUUUGUAGAGGAUGUUUUGGGUACCGCGCUGGUUUAAAUUUCUUGGAACAGGAUGUCAGAGAGGGUGAGAAUCCCGUCUUGGACCGGCGUAGGGCCCAUGUAAAACUCCUUCGACGAGUCGAGUUGUUUGG